This 191-nucleotide ribosomal RNA is filed under the name uncultured bacterium. RNAcentral's name for it is "partial 16S ribosomal RNA". It matches the Rfam family "Bacterial small subunit ribosomal RNA", at positions 338 to 521 of the family's 1533-position model. The record is from RNAcentral.
CCUACGGGAGGCAGCAGUGAGGAAUUUUGCGCAAUGGGGGAAACCCUGACGCAGCAACGCCGCGUGAGUGAAGAAGGCUUUCGGGUCGUAAAGCUCUGUCAAGUGGGAAAAAAGUUCUAUCGUUAAUAGCGGUGGAAUCUGAUGGUACCACUAGAGGAAGCACCGGCUAACUCCGUGCCAGCAGCCGCGGU